RNAcentral lists this ribosomal RNA (482 nucleotides) under uncultured bacterium. RNAcentral describes it as "partial 16S ribosomal RNA". It matches the Rfam family "Bacterial small subunit ribosomal RNA", at positions 30 to 507 of the family's 1533-position model. The record is from RNAcentral.
AUUGAACGCUGGCGGCAUGCUUUACACAUGCAAGUCGAACGGUAACAGGCCGCAAGGUGCUGACGAGUGGCGAACGGGUGAGUAAUGCAUCGGAACGUGCCCAGUCGUGGUGGAUAACUACUCGAAAGAGUAGCUAAUACCGCAUACGAUCUAUGGAUGAAAGCGGGGGACCGUAAGGCCUCGCGCGAUUUGAGCGGCCGAUGUCAGAUUAGGUAGUUGGUGGGGUAAAGGCUCACCAAGCCAACGAUCUGUAGCUGGUCUGAGAGGACGACCAGCCACACUGGGACUGAGACACGGCCCAGACUCCUACGGGAGGCAGCAGUGGGGAAUUUUGGACAAUGGGCGCAAGCCUGAUCCAGCAAUGCCGCGUGCAGGAAGAAGGCCUUCGGGUUGUAAACUGCUUUUGUACGGAACGAAACGGCUCUGGUUAAUACCCGGGGCUAAUGACGGUACCGUAAGAAUAAGCACCGGCUAACUACGUG